This is a long non-coding RNA of Phascolarctos cinereus (koala), 1901 nucleotides long. RefSeq lists it as uncharacterized. NCBI's taxonomy places the organism in Eukaryota, Metazoa, Chordata, Mammalia, Diprotodontia, Phascolarctidae. The record is from RefSeq and is a predicted model, not a curated record.
CCCAGAACAAAGCAUUCAGUAUGUAUCUAUCAGGGAGAGGACUCUACCAGCCUCCUGGCUCAGCUCUCUAUAAACCAUACCUUGCUGCCUUUGUACAGAGCUCAGCUCUGAAUCCCGUGGUGUUACUUCUAGAAAGCCUUCCAGCUGCUAGACCUCAUUCUUCUUUCCAGUCUCAGAGCCCAAAGAGCAGGGACUGCUUCUUCUGAGAUGGCUUGGAGAUGACCUUGAUGAGGCGACUGUGGAAGGUACCUAGCUCUUGGCCUCCUUGCAACACCAGCCUUAACACCAACCGGAAGUGCUUUCUCUUGUCCGAGUCCGAGAUAAAGAGAGCUUUGGCGCAGGCGAAUUCCUAGCCAGUCGGCGAAGUGGGCAGCUUUGCCUUUGUCCUGGGGCCAGCAGGCUCAGUGAAGCCUUGGCUACCCAGUUGAGGAUGGCUUAAAGAGCCCCCAACCCAAGCUCUCCCAGUCACCCUGGCCCCCUUGGACUGCCCAGAGUCCGGUUGCUUCUCAAAGCUCAGCUUUUGCGCCUCCGCGGAACCGCCGUCCAACCCCAUGUAACCGCAGACCGUGCAUCCAGCCUCCCCAGUCUCGUUUGCUAGAAUACACCGCAGGUGACUGAUGAGACGAGGUUGGAAUGUACCAUACAGCGUACUCCUGUGCAGUGGACUCAAGGGGGCGCUGUGGAGCUGCGCCUUCACCGUCUCGUCCCUGCUGACUCCCAACCCCUGGCUGGAUCUGGGAGAAGUUGUGGAGUUGGUCCUACUUCUCCCACUCACCUUGCCCCUGUUCCGGCUUCAGCCUCCAGCCUGGGCCCGUGAGAUACACGCAGGGCGGCGGACAGAAGAACCUACGUGGAGAGGCUGUUGUCACCUCUGGGCCAAGGGAAGGACCGACUGAUAGGGGCGGGGAAGUGCUUGGAUAUGUCCCAAACUGUUCCGAGUCCUCAGAAAGAAUCUUAGAAAUUAUUUAGCCUGGUACAAAGUGGAAAGAGCCCAAGACUUGGGAGUCCAAGGAAAUGAGUUUAGAUCCUAGCUCUGAAACUUAGUAGCUCUGUGACCUUAUCAAGUCACUUCUCUCUGAGUCUCAGUUUCCUCAUCUAGGUCUACACCUACUUCAGUGAGGUUUGUAAAUAAAUAAUUGGUUAUAUAAAUGGGAGGGUUCUUUCUAUCUUUAUUUUUUACUGCUACCCAAUAAAGUUCAUAUUACCCAUGACAACUUGGCUAAUAAGGAACGGAAGAAAAAUAUUGGAUCGGAAGAGGUGGGGCCACUGUAUUUGGAAAAGGAAAAACAACCGAUUCACACCUGGAGCACUGCCUAAGUAUUCCUGAAACAUUUGAAAGACCUAGAGGGAAACCUCAAAGGUAGGUCCCUCUGUAGAGGAUUUAUGGAAGAACAGGGACAAGAGUCCCAGAAUGAGAAGUGGUGGAUAGGUUACCAUUUGUAUGUAUCAACUGAAGUAUCAAGGGAUAAAAAUUAAAAUUCACCUGACAUUAAAGGCCCUCCACAAUCUGAAGGCACCCUAACUCUUCAGCAUGAUCUCUGCUUUCUAUUCUCCAUGCAUUGUAGAUUCCAACCAAAGUAGAAGUCUUUGCUUCCCUAGGAUAUCUCAUCUUCUCUCCCUUCCAUGCCUUUGGUCUCAUUUCCCUAUGUCUGCAAUGCCUCCUUCCCCUACUUCAUUUGUUAUUUUUAUUAACAAUAUAUCCUUUUAAGCCCAAUUCAAAUAUCAGCUCCUCCUGUAAGUACCUUGAGGGCAGGUACUUGUUUUAUUUUUUGUAUUGGUAUUUCCAGCAAUGUGGGCAGGGCUUGGCAUAGGGUAUGAUCUUAAGAAACAUAUAUGAUAGUAGCUUUUUUGUGGUGGCAAACAAUGGGAAACUGAGGGGAUACCCAUUAACUGGGGAAUGG